UGCGGUGGGGGGGAGAGGGGGGGAGGUAGACGAGGGAACGGUGCGUGACGCGCGCCUGUUAACCAUGCACUGGCUUUAGGGUUGCCCUGUGGUCGCUAUUCAAACGCUUCGUCUGUUCUUCCUUCCCGUCGCCAGCCUCUUUCUUUGGUCCCGGUAGUCUUCCUACCGGGAGGAAUCCGGCCCCUUUCCUCUUACUCCCUGGUGGCGAAGUGGCCAGAGUUGAGUCGCCGAAUUCAGCUUGUAAAUGCAACCCAGAGGGCGAUCGCGUUCUCUUCGAGAACCGCUCUGGAGUGCAUGAUUUCCCCCCACUUCUCCUGAGGUUUAAUCAGUUCCAGAGAGUUUCUCUGUAACACCUUGUGCAGUCACAGAAAAUACAGAAGGCUUGAUAGGAGAUAGGCUAAUUACCUUCCCACUCCCCCAAGCCAGUAAUCUCAUUUACGCCUCAUAGUGGGGAAACUGCAAUCAAAACACUCAAAUGGAAAUGAUUCACCCAGAUGUAAAGUUUGCACUGAAACAAAUCAUUUUCCAGCGCAUGUGUAUUUUCAUGCUUCAGAAAAAUCAUUUUAGUUCUACUUUAAUUUUCCUUCAUGAGGGGCUGUAAAUACUAAAACCUGAAGGCUUUGCUAAGAUAUGACCCUCUUCAUUUAAUUUGAGGGUUCAGGAAGGAAAUUCCUGAUAUUUCUCUACAUAGUGAAGUAAACAUUUUGAAAAUAUUUUUACAAGGACCUAGUUAUAGCCCCUCCUGGGCUACUUCUUAAAUGUCUCCGCUAGACGUACAGUCUUUUCAUUCCUUAGAUACAAUACCUUCCACGAUAAUAGGGCGAUACAAUUGUUUUGCAUUGUCCAAAGUGCCAAAUAUUCUAGAACAAUCUUGUGCACAGUUUAGGCUCCCAUACGUGUUGAUUUACUCAUUGAUCCUCAUAGAAUCCUUUUCCUGGAGCAUCACCAAUGUAAUUACACGGAAACACCCAAAACCAUAAUUAUUACUCCAGAGAGCAACUAAGUCAAUCAGUUUCUGCUAAAGAUCGUCACCGAGCGCAUGCCUUUUGUUUUUUCUUUACAGUAUUCGUCAAACAGAAAAUGAUAAAAAAUGAGUUUAUUCAUAAUGGCUAUUAUAGGCUCUGAAGUGUCAGUAACAUGCUGAAGGUGGGGCUCCCUGUGGUCCACGUUAAUCCACUACAGCUGAGGCUCAUUACCUGUGACGCCUUAGACAAGGUAUUCUCUUAACCUUGAAAAUCUGUAUAAUGGGGAUACUAAAACUUGAUAUAAGUUGCAAAAAAAAAAAUAACUGAAAUAGAGAAUUUAGUAAGUUGGAAUCUCACACGGAAAAUAGGACACAUCUGUGUUCCUUACCCCUACCGUACACAUGUCACAACUAGAAACAGAACAUAUCAUACAACUCAAAUGGCUCCCACAAAUCACGACAACUAUGGUUAUGUACUGUGCUUAAAGCACAUGAAGAAUACGAGCCACUUAAUCUGCUGGGCCAAGGACAGGCCCAUGUGAUGGCAAUUCCACCAAGGGCCUGAAAAGAUGAUCCAUUUAGUUCUUCAGACUUCUCCCUCCUCUCUUGGUCUCCCCAUGGACAAUGCUCCAGAAUGGGUUGGAUCAAGGAACUAGAUGCCCUGAUAACCGAAUAAACACUUGUUUAUCAAACAAAGGCUAAAGUUUAAAUCGAAAGAGCAGAGAGUAAGCCAAAAGCUAACCCAGAGGAGUUUUUAGUUGCUCAGGGUGGAUGGAAAACAAUAGAAUGUAUGUUUGGGCCUAUUGAGAGGGUGGCGUCAUUGAAAGCAGGUCCUACAAGGUUAGUCAACACAGAAGAUGCUUUCCCUGGGUCGUUCCACCUGUCCUCAGGGAAAGAAGAGAAAACUCCAAAGGCCUGUGUGUGGCCCAUUAUGUUUAGUCCUUCAGACCUCUAUGGGGCACUGCUUUUGUGCCAGGCAGUGUGCUGAGUCCUGGAUCUAACAAAGAUACCCAAGGUGGACAGCAUUGCCACACUCAAGGAGGGCAUGGUCCACAUUUCUUUAGCUGAAUUGAAUAGCUUCCCAAAAGCAAAGAUAAGCUUACAGAUAUUUCUACUUUUUCUAAGACCCAGCUAUGCCAUUAAGAGACAGCCUUGGGCAGGUGUAACCAUUUAGAAUACCCACUUUUUCGAGUGAGGAAUGAGCUGGAAGCCCUCUUGUAGCUGUAAUAUUGUGCGGUGCUGUGAUAUCUGGGAAAAGAUAAAUCUGAAAGGAACUUCUGGAUGCCCAGAACCACCUCCUAUAAUAGUGCCCGGCUACUCCUUUGGAGCCCUUCCCUUCUGCCCCUCAUGGUAGCCUUUAGUCAAGGAUUUUGUGGCUUAGUUAUUUACAUCUCAAGUGUCUCUCUGGACUGUUGAGUGCUUUGAAGAUUAGACCACAUGAGUGAGAUUGAUGUUUCUUGCCUACCUAACAUUCUUUAAUCAGGCCCUUCUCCAGCUCCCUCUUCCCACUCUCUUUUGUUCUCCAGGCUGACGCCAUCUUGGCUCUGUUCCUUUUACAAAGCCAGUCUUGUGUCUGCCUUUGGGACUUUGUCUAUGCCACGCUCUUCACCUGGGAUGAUUUCCUCCUGGUGCUCACAUGGCUGGAUCCUUCUUGCCAUUCGGAUCUUAGAGUAAACAUCAUUUACACAAUGGACCUAAACCACCCAGCUGGCCAUCCUUUGCCACUCAUCCUAUUUCAAUGAUCUGCAUAUUAGUUUUAUUAUCUGACAUUUUUCUUGGGUUCAUUAUCUCCUUGCACUAGAAAGUAGCCUCUGUAAGACAGGGAUGAUAUUUGUUUUAUUCUUCAUAGUAUCCCUGAUGCCCGGAAGAGUGUGUGGCCUAAAGGAAGUGCUUAAUAAAUGAAACGACUUAAUAAUAUACCCCUUAUAUAUUGCUGGGUACAUAAUUGUUUCUCAAUAAAUUAUGGUUUUCCUCCCUUCAUCUCAUAAUCAAGGGUACGUUUUCUUAGCAAUCCCUUCACACCUCACUAUAAAAAGCAAGACAAAAUCAAACCAAACAAAAAAGAAAACCCUUGAAUUUAGGUAUUUUAUUAUAUAUUACAUAUUAUGCUACUCAAUUCCUUCAGAAAACCAAGGCACUAAAUUUUGUAAAUGAUGUACAAGGAAGAUUUUGAAAUCAAGGCUGUUCUUUUAGUCCAAGGAGGUCAUUAAACAAUCAUAGUGAAUAACCAUUUUUCAAGAAAACUGAAGUAGAUACUCUUUUUUACAGACCACAUUCAAUGGACACUUUGUCAAGUGCAGAGACUCUUACCAUUGGGAGGGGGGCCAUCUAAGGCUUUCAUCUGUCCAUCUUGGGAAAAUGCCAGUGUUGCUUCUUAUUCCAAGGACCACAGAUAAUCUUCCAAUGAGUCAGAAAAAUGUAUCCUCUCUUCUCUCUCCUUUUAAACUUGCUCCCUAAAUUCUCCUUUGUCCCCUAAUUCUUUGCCAUCUAUUAAAAUAGAAUUUUAAAAUGAGAAUCCAUUAGGCCCCAUGAUUCUUUGCUUCUGCUUUUGGGUGAAGGCCCUCUGGCCUAUUCCUUUCAUGAACCUCCCGGGUUUUGCAGGUGCGGACUGAUCAUACUCAUGAGACGUUGGCCGUUAACUAAGGAGAACUCCCCUUUGUUCAGAGGUUAAAGAAAUGGCAAGCUAACUUUCCCAGAGUAGCACAGCUCAGACACAGAGACAGCCUAGUGCUCUCCAGGUCUCUUCCCAGCAUUCUGUGAUUGUCCUGCAGAAUCUGUAAAAGUAGAUGUAUCCUCAGUAGAUGUUGGUAGCAAGAUGUCAACCUGUAUUUGUAGAUACGUAGGAAUAAAGGGAGGGAACACUCUCUUCAUUAAUGACACCAUAUGAAUUUGGUUUAUAGGAAAGAAUGCUGUCAUAGCGUCUUCGACUUCUAUCAUUCAACCGACUUUCCCCAAGAGCUUCAGAACCUCUCAUCCAGCCUGAGGACACACAGGAUAACCUGGCCACCUCACGGAGGGUUUUCUAUCUUGUAAUCACAAAGGUCUUUCAUAACCUUCAUAUUGCCAGAAAGCCUGAAUGAACAUUUAUUACAAAACACUUCUACUUUCUUUUCUUUUCUUUUUUUUUUAAUGUGUAUUUAUUUUGAGAAAGAGAGAGAGUGUGUGUGUACAUGAGCAGGAGAGGGGCAGAGAGAGAGGGAAAGGGAAUCCCAAGCAGGCUCCACACUCAGUGCAGAGCCCGACACAGGGCUCUGUCUCAAGACCACGAGAUCAUGACCUGAGCUGAAGUCAGGAGUCAGACACUUAACCUACUGAGCCCCCAGGUGCCCCUACUUUAUUUUCUUUUAAAAUAUCCUUCUCGGGGGCUCCUGGGUGGCUCAGUUGGUUGAGCGUCCGACUUCGGCUCAGGUCAUGAUGUCACAGUCUGUGAGUUCGAGCCCUGCAUCGGGCUCUGUGCUGAUGGCUCGGAGCCUGGAGCCUGCUUCUGAUUCUGUGUCUCCCUCUCUCUCUGCCCCUUCCCUGCUCAUGCUCUGUCUCUCUCUGUCUCAAAAAUAAAUAAAAACAUUAAGAAAAAAAAAUUUAAAUAUCCUUCUCUACGCAACGGUAAGGCCUCAAUGAAGGUGCCUAGCAUGUAGUUCUGCAGCCACGGCAGAAUGACCGUUGGGUUGUCAGAGUGGCGAGGCACAUGCACAAGUACCAAGUUGGUAAGUAAUUAUAUUUUCGUAUCUCUGUGUAUGCAUAUUUACAUAUAUGUGUCUACGUGUGUGUGUGUGUAUAUACAGAGAGAGAAAGAAA
Long non-coding RNA from Panthera uncia (snow leopard), 4759 nucleotides. RefSeq lists it as uncharacterized. The transcript has 2 exons. Lineage: Eukaryota; Metazoa; Chordata; Mammalia; Carnivora; Felidae. The record is from RefSeq and is a predicted model, not a curated record.